This 549-nucleotide ribosomal RNA is filed under the name uncultured bacterium. RNAcentral's name for it is "partial 16S ribosomal RNA". It matches the Rfam family "Bacterial small subunit ribosomal RNA", at positions 355 to 895 of the family's 1533-position model. The record is from RNAcentral.
UGGGGAAUUUUGGACAAUGGGCGAAAGCCUGAUCCAGCAAUGCCGCGUGUGUGAAGAAGGCCUUCGGGUUGUAAAGCACUUUUGUCCGGAAAGAAAUCCUCUGGGUUAAUACCUCGGGGGGAUGACGGUACCGGAAGAAUAAGCACCGGCUAACUACGUGCCAGCAGCCGCGGUAAUACGUAGGGUGCAAGCGUUAAUCGGAAUUACUGGGCGUAAAGCGUGCGCAGGCGGUUUUGUAAGACGGAUGUGAAAUCCCCGGGCUUAACCUGGGAACUGCAUUCGUGACUGCAAGGCUAGAGUAUGGCAGAGGGGGGUUAGAAUUCCACGUGUAGCAGUGAAAUGCGUAGAGAUGUGGAGGAAUACCGAUGGCGAAGGCAGCCCCCUGGGCCAAUACUGACGCUCAUGCACGAAAGCGUGGGGAGCAAACAGGAUUAGAUACCCUGGUAGUCCACGCCCUAAACGAUGUCAACUAGUUGUUGGGGAUUCAUUUCCUUAGUAACGUGAGCUAACGCGUGAAGUUGACCGCCUGGGGAGUACGGUCGCAAGAUU